UCAAUAUUUCUGGGUAUGAAUUUGCUAAAUAUGAGGAUGGAUAUUUCCUUUGAGUAUGUGUCUCCAAAGUAGAAAAAAAUUGGAGUUAGUUUUGCAUGUGAAGUGAUAAGAGUACUUGUCUAACAGUUAGUCUUGGUAUGGAUGCUUUAAAGUUGUUGGCUAGUGAUAGUGAAAGACAAGUAAUGACAGUCUGCUCGAUUCACUUUGCAAUUUCUUGGCUUGGCGUAAACAAAUUCUUUUACAUGGGGACUAGUGAUUGAAUUAUGUAUUCGUGCUACCAGGUUUAUUUUUGCUUUUGGACUUGAAAAUUGGAGUGUUUAUGUUGAUUGGGAGUGAUAAGAGUUUGAAAAGUUG
Molecule: unclassified non-coding RNA, 354 nt
Filed under: Hevea brasiliensis (rubber tree)
Lineage: Eukaryota; Viridiplantae; Streptophyta; Magnoliopsida; Malpighiales; Euphorbiaceae
Source: RNAcentral